RNAcentral lists this ribosomal RNA (467 nucleotides) under uncultured Oomycota. Its description in RNAcentral is "LSU rRNA". The stretch from base 1 to 83 matches the Rfam family "Bacterial large subunit ribosomal RNA", at positions 476 to 559 of the family's 2925-position model. The record is from RNAcentral. Lineage: Eukaryota; Oomycota.
GUGCGAGACCGAUAGCGAACAAGUACCGUGAGGGAAAGAUGAAAAGAACUUUGAAAAGAGAGUUAAAGAGUACCUGAAACUGCUGAAAGGGAAGCGAAUCGUAUCCAGUGUCUAUAAUCUGCGGCAUAUUUCAUUGGCGGCGGUGCGCGUGCUUUUGCGUCGGAAGCGGCUUUUGUUGCUCUGUGCUUUUGCUGCGCGUGGUGUUGCUGGUGCCCUGUGUUGCGGUGGGACGUCAGAGUCAGUUUGUAUGCUGCGGGAAAUGGCUGCCGAGGAGGUAGGUCGAGAUUUCGGUCUUGGCUGUUAUAUCUUGGUGGUUUGUUGUCGUGGUUGAGACUGAGGUGCCUACAAUGUGCUUUUGAGUGUACCGGGUUCUCAUUUGGUGGACUGUUUGGAUAGCUUGCUAUGCUUGUGGUUUUUUCAUCGGGUGAUUGAGUCUGGUGGUAACUUGUUGCUGUUCGGGACUUUGA